RNAcentral lists this ribosomal RNA (253 nucleotides) under uncultured bacterium. Its description in RNAcentral is "partial 16S ribosomal RNA". It matches the Rfam family "Bacterial small subunit ribosomal RNA", at positions 524 to 776 of the family's 1533-position model. The record is from RNAcentral.
GACGUAGGGGGCGAGCGUUGUCCGGAUUUAUUGGGCGUAAAGCGCGCGUAGGCGGCUGCGCAAGUCGGUUGUGAAACCCCGGGGCUCAACCCCGGAACUGCAUCCGAUACUGCGUGGCUAGAGGUAGGUAGGGGAGAUCGGAAUUCCUGGUGUAGCGGUGAAAUGCGUAGAUAUCGAGAGGAACACCUGCGGCGAAGGCGGGUUGCUGGGCCGACACUGACGCUGAGGCGCGAAAGCCAGGGGAGCGAACGGG